GAUGAAGAACGUAGUGAAAUGCGAUACGUAAUGUGAAUUGCAGAAUUCAGUGAAUCAUCGAGUCCUUGAACGCACAUUGCGCCCCCUGGUAUUCCGGGGGGCAUGCCUGUCCGAGCGUCAUUGCUGCCCUCAAGCACGGCUUGUGUGUUGGGCCUCCGUCCUCCUCCCGGGGGACGGGCCCGAAAGGCAGCGGCGGCACCGCGUCCGGUCCUCGAGCGUAUGGGGCUUCGUCACCCGCUCUUGUAGGCCCGGCCGGCGCUUGCCGACACAUCAAUCUUUUUUCCAGGUUGACCUCGGAUCAGGUAGGGAUACCCGCUGAACUUAAGCAUAUCAAUAAGCGGAGGA
Molecule: unclassified non-coding RNA, 345 nt
Filed under: soil metagenome
Description: partial contains 5.8S ribosomal RNA, internal transcribed spacer 2, and large subunit ribosomal RNA
Rfam family: 5.8S ribosomal RNA (bases 1-120)
Source: RNAcentral